GAGACGUUAGUAUUGAAGAAGGCGCGAAGCUUGCAGAAGCAGAAGGAUUGUUCUUCAUGGAGACAUCCGCGUUGGAUUCUACAAACGUUAAUAAGGCUUUCGAGAUUGUUAUCCGUGAAAUCUAUAGCAAUGUCAGUCGAAAGGUCUUGAAUUCGGAUUCCUACAAGGCAGAGUUAUCUAUUAACAGGGUAAACCUUGUAAAAGACGACGGAGAAGGAUCGAAACGAUCUUGGAGCAGUUGUUGCUCAAGAUGAACCAUGUCUUAACUGGUUAUACAUUUUGUUAUUGUUAGC
Molecule: unclassified non-coding RNA, 293 nt
Filed under: Hevea brasiliensis (rubber tree)
Lineage: Eukaryota; Viridiplantae; Streptophyta; Magnoliopsida; Malpighiales; Euphorbiaceae
Source: RNAcentral